UGGGGAAUUUUGGACAAUGAGGGAAACCCUGAUCCAGCCAUCCCGCGUGUGCGAUGAAGGCCUUCGGGUUGUAAAGCACUUUUGGCAGGAAAGAAACGUCGCGGGUUAAUACCCCGCGAAACUGACGGUACCUGCAGAAUAAGCACCGGCUAACUACGUGCCAGCAGCCGCGGUAAUACGUAGGGUGCAAGCGUUAAUCGGAAUUACUGGGCGUAAAGCGUGCGCAGGCGGUUCGGAAAGAAAGAUGUGAAAUCCCAGAGCUUAACUUUGGAACUGCAUUUUUAACUACCGGGCUAGAGUGUGUCAGAGGGAGGUGGAAUUCCGCGUGUAGCAGUGAAAUGCGUAGAUAUGCGGAGGAACACCGAUGGCGAAGGCAGCCUCCUGGGAUAACACUGACGCUCAUGCACGAAAGCGUGGGGAGCAAACAGGAUUAGAUACCCUGGUAGUCCACGCCCUAAACGAUGUCAACUAGCUGUUGGGGGCCUUCGGGCCUUGGUAGCGCAGCUAACGCGUGAAGUUGACCGCCUGGGGAGUACGGUCGCAAGAUUAAAAACUCAAAGGAAUUGACGGGGGUCAUAGCUGUUUCCU
Molecule: ribosomal RNA, 588 nt
Filed under: uncultured bacterium
Lineage: Bacteria
Description: partial 16S ribosomal RNA
Rfam family: Bacterial small subunit ribosomal RNA
Source: RNAcentral